UACGGAGGAUCCAAGCGUUAUCCGGAUUUAUUGGGUUUAAAGGGUGCGUAGGCGGAAUGAUAAGUCAGAGGUGAAAGCCUACAGCUUAACUGUAGAAUUGCCUUUGAUACUGUCGUUCUUGAGUACAUUUGGUGUGGGCGGAAUGUGUCAUGUAGCGGUGAAAUGCUUAGAUAUGACACAGAACACCGAUCGCGAAGGCAGCUCACAAAACUGUUACUGACGCUGAGGCACGAAAGCGUGGGGAUCGAACAGG
RNAcentral lists this ribosomal RNA (253 nucleotides) under uncultured bacterium. Its description in RNAcentral is "partial 16S ribosomal RNA". It matches the Rfam family "Bacterial small subunit ribosomal RNA", at positions 524 to 776 of the family's 1533-position model. The record is from RNAcentral.